GUGGAUCCUUAAGUAAAGAUGGAGCUCAAGACUUUCUGUCUCUAUUACAUACUACGCAAAUCAAGGGAGAGCCCUACAAAAGUUACAGAAGGGAACAGCCAGAGGACAAGGACACCAUGUUCUUCAUCCUCAUGCAAGACAUCUGACCUGUUCUUCUGAGAGGAAUCCCAGGAACAACACACGCUCUCUCAGCCUCCAGCCGGAUCAGUUCUGAGUGUUCUCAAGCCCAACCAAUGAUUGAGGGGGCACUGUCAAUCUCUUGCUGCAAUCAUCAAGGAUUGUUUGUCAUGUAUGCACUGACCUCUUUGGAAUUCCAUCAUGCAAAGUGCGCUUGCUUGUCUUUGCUUUCAUUAUAGUUACCCACAAUAACUCAUACCUUUGCACUCAUUUUCCGAGAACUUGUAGGACACCAUUAUUUGCUGUCUCCUAUAGCCAGGCAUUUCAUCCUCUGCAUCUGGAAACAGGGCCAGCUUCAGGGAUAUACAACCUGCACAGUUACACAGGGCCCCCCACUCAGAAGGACCCCAAACUUGGUUUCAUUCUGUGCUGCUGCCAUCUUGAAAGGCUUAAUUGUUUUUUCAACAACGGCAUUGCAUUUUCAUUUUGCACGGAGCCCUGCAAAUUAUGUAGUUGAUCCUGUCUAGAAGACUAACUGCCUCAAGGUGAAUUUCUAUCAAGCCCUGUCUUUACACCUGGGAUGGGAGCCAUUACAGACUGGUUCUGAGUACAGCUUUUAGCCCCAGUGAUCAUUUUCAUUGCCAUUCACUUGGUAGGGUGACUAUUACCAACCUAAAAGUUCAAGCAGCCCAAAAAUACUUUUGAUAUUUGAUUACAGAUAACUGGUUUGACCAAAAGUUAAGGUUUAUCCUUGGCCAUCCUUUAUCAUCCUGUUACCAUGUGUACAGACAGGCUCCUGCUCCUUCAAAGCUCCUUCAUUUAGAAACAAUACCAGCACCCCCUACCCCAAACACUGGUUCAUACAGUUUCCAAUUCUAUAAACUUAAUGUGUUAUGCAAAGUUCAACAUUUUCUUAGCAUAAUUUGAUUAAGGAUGUGCAGAAUUGCAUCAGAUGUAAUAAAAGCCAAGCCCUGUAAUUUCAAUUAUUAAAUACUUGUACCAAAGCCUGUACCUGAGCAGCUCAGUGGCUCAUACUUGAACUGCAAAAGUAGCAACUGAAUGUACAGAAAGCAGGGAAAGUGUCUGAAUGAAUUGUUUUCUUAGCUGUGACAGAUUUGAAAAGGGUUUCCUCAAGGUGAAGGACAAAAGGGGUCUAUAAACUGCGCAUUUACCUCAGGACAU
Molecule: long non-coding RNA, 1299 nt
Filed under: Homo sapiens (human)
Lineage: Eukaryota; Metazoa; Chordata; Mammalia; Primates; Hominidae
Description: HSALNT0061556
Source: RNAcentral